GUAGAGCACUCCUACGGGAGGCAGCAGUGGGGAAUAUUGCACAAUGGGCGCAAGCCUGAUGCAGCCAUGCCGCGUGUAUGAAGAAGGCCUUCGGGUUGUAAAGUACUUUCAGCAGUGAGGAAGGUGGGUAUGUUAAUAGCAUACUCAUUUGACGUUAGCUGCAGAAGAAGCACCGGCUAACUCCGUGCCAGCAGCCGCGGUAAUACGGAGGGUGCGAGCGUUAAUCGGAAUUACUGGGCGUAAAGCGCAUGCAGGUGGUUUGUUAAGUCAGAUGUGAAAGCCCGGGGCUCAACCUCGGAAUUGCAUUUGAAACUGGCAAACUAGAGUACUGUAGAGGGGGUAGAAUUUCAGGUGUAGCGGUGAAAUGCGUAGAGAUCUGAAGGAAUACCGGUGGCGAAGGCGGCCCCCUGGACAGAUACUGACACUCAGAUGCGAAAGCGUGGGGAGCAAACAGGAUUAUAUACCCUGGUAG
RNAcentral lists this ribosomal RNA (472 nucleotides) under uncultured bacterium. RNAcentral describes it as "bacterial SSU rRNA". It matches the Rfam family "Bacterial small subunit ribosomal RNA", at positions 328 to 793 of the family's 1533-position model. The record is from RNAcentral.